This 275-nucleotide ribosomal RNA is filed under the name uncultured bacterium. RNAcentral's name for it is "partial 16S ribosomal RNA". It matches the Rfam family "Bacterial small subunit ribosomal RNA", at positions 338 to 606 of the family's 1533-position model. The record is from RNAcentral.
CCUACGGGAGGCUGCAGUCGAGAAUUUUUCUCAAUGGGCGCAAGCCUGAAGGAGCGACGCCGCGUGGGGGAUGAAGGGUUUCGAUCCGUAAACCCCUGUCAUUCGUGAACAAUGGUUACCAUUAAAUAUUUGGUGACUUGAUAGUAACGGAAGAGGAAGGGACGGCUAACUCUGUGCCAGCAGCCGCGGUAAUACAGAGGUCCCGAGCGUUGUUCGGAUUCACUGGGCGUAAAGGGUGCGUAGGUGGCAUGAUAAGUUUGAUGUGAAAGCUCAGG